RNAcentral lists this ribosomal RNA (397 nucleotides) under uncultured bacterium. RNAcentral describes it as "partial 16S ribosomal RNA". It matches the Rfam family "Bacterial small subunit ribosomal RNA", at positions 360 to 774 of the family's 1533-position model. The record is from RNAcentral.
AAUCUUAGACAAUGGGGGCAACCCUGAUCUAGCCAUGCCGCUUGAGCGAUGAAGGGCUUAGGGUUGUCUAGCUCUUUCAGCUGUGAGGAUAAUGACGGUAGCACCAGAAGAAGUCACGUCUAACUUCGUUCCACCAGCCGCGGUAAUACGGAGGGGACUAGCGUUGUUCGGAAUUACUGGGCGUAAAGCGCACGUAGGCGGAUCGGAAAGUUGGGGGUGAAAUCCCGGGGCUCAACCCCGGAACUGCCUUCAAAACUAUCGGUCUGGAGAUCGAGAGAGGUGAGUGGAAUUCCGAGUGUAGAGGUGAAAUUCGUAGAUAUUCGGAGGAACACCAGUGGCGAAGGCGGCUCACUGGCUCGAUACUGACGCUGAGGUGCGAAAGCGUGGGGAGCAAACA